Long non-coding RNA from Cyprinus carpio (common carp), 1662 nucleotides. The record is from Ensembl. NCBI's taxonomy places the organism in Eukaryota, Metazoa, Chordata, Actinopteri, Cypriniformes, Cyprinidae.
ACAUUAAGUUAAGUUAAUUUAGAAAAACGUUUGGAGCAUUAUUUGUUUGUUAAAUAUACAUUUUCGUUUUUUUUUUUUAAGUAACGACCAAGCGACCAGCGUUAGACAGUGAGCCUAUGAAGAGUUCAGAUGCAAAAGCCUCUAAACGCCACCUCUGUCAAAAAUGAGAUAAUGACAGCUAUCUGCACAUAGUACACGUUCAACAAAUAUGUUUGCUUCUAAUCCUCAAUAUAUCAGCCUCAGCCCAUUCAGAAAUAUCAGUUUGUUGGCAAAAGCCGCUAGGCGCCACUUCCCUUUUGGCAGCAAAAGCCGCUAUGUCCCGAGAACCAAUCAGAAGGCGCGAAUCAAUACAGGUGGUUUCAAUAUAGCGGCGUGCUGAGGAGACAGCUUUUUUUUUUUUUUUUUGAGACAGCUGAGGAGAUUGUUUUGGUUUUAGAUUCAGAUUCAGAUUUUUUUAAUUUUUAAGAUGGGGUACAAUGAAAUGGAUGAGCCUGUCCUACUGACAUCAAAUGGCAGAAGAAAACGUCGUUUACCUCAAAACUCUUCCCGUUACAAGGCAAAAGAGAAACGAUACAGUGGAAAUGGCUUGGUCGCAAGUGUAGCAUGCACUCAUAACACUUCUUGGUGCAGUGCUGUUACUUUGAAGGAAUCAGAUUUAUUUUACAUCAAACAACAGCUCUAUUUCACCAACAACAAAGUCAAACAAGAUGCCAUUCUUCUGUCUCAUAUGGAUGCUAUGCCAUGUGAACGGAGGAGACAACAAGUGGAGGCUGAAGAGAAGAGAAGACAAAGAGAUGUAUCGAUCAAGUAUGCCGUUUGGAAAGAAUAUAAAACAAAAGUUCCUGUCUGCCAUGCUUCAUUCCUGAGCAUUUUCUGUGUCAAGAAAGACAGAGUUCAAAGUAUUGCCAAGUACUGGCUUGAGAACGGCAAAGCACGUCCCGAAAAUCGUGGUGGUCCCAGGGAAACUGAAGAGCAAACUGCAAAAAAGGACAUAGUUCGAAAGCACAUACAGUCUUUUUUAAUUGUAGAGCAAGCCACUAUGCCCGCCGUGGUGCACCUGGGAGAAAGUUCCUGCCGGGUGACUUGAGUGUGGCAAAAAUGCAUCAGAUGUUUCUUGAGCAGAAUCAUCAACAAGUUUCCUACUGGAGCAUCUUUGUGUAUGACUUCAACCUGGCUUUUGGUCAUCCUACCAAAGAUGUGUACUCUUCGUGUGUCAAAUUCUGCAUUGCAAUCAAUGAUCCUGAUCUGACUGCAGAAGAGAAGCGGAACAAGAUUCUUCUUUACACACUUCACCGUCGCUGAGCUCGUCACUUUUAUGACACACUAAAUGACGUGGGUGAUACAUUCACUGUCUGCUUUGACAUAAUGGAGAACUUGCUCCUUCCUAGGUCUGCCAUCUGUCAAACGUAUUACUCAUGGCAGGUAUACUUUUAUGUAUUCGGUGUGGUCCGUCACUGUGGCAGAGGAGAACCCCAGAGUCGGCAUGAGAUAAAUCUGUACACCUGGCUGGAAUAUGAGAACUCAAAGGAUAGUAACAUUGUCGCCCCAGCUCUACAUCACUACUUCACCUCAGUGGCUAGUGUUGAUCUGCGCCAGUGUCAGAGCCUCCGCCUGUUCUCAGACUCUUGCUACGGCCAGAAUAAAAACAUUAAUGUUCUGUCA